ACGGCCUUCGGGUUGUAAACCCCUUUCAGUUGGGACGAAGCUUCGACGGUGAAUAGCCGUCUGGAGUGACGGUACCUUCACGAAGAAGCCCCGGCUAAACUACCGUGC
This 108-nucleotide ribosomal RNA is filed under the name uncultured bacterium. Its description in RNAcentral is "partial 16S ribosomal RNA". The record is from RNAcentral.